UACGUAUGGUGCAAGCGUUAUCCGGAUUUACUGGGCGUAAAGGGAGCGCAGGCGGCGCGCCAAGUCUGAUGUGAAACCCCGGGGCUCAACCCCGGGCAUGCAUUGGAAACUGGGAGACUUGAGUGCAGAAGAGGAGAGUGGAACUCCAUGUGUAGCGGUGAAAUGCGUAGAUAUAUGGAAGAACACCAGUGGCGAAAGCGGCUCUCUGGUCUGUAACUGACGCUGAGGUUCGAAAGCGUGGGUAGCAAACAGG
Molecule: ribosomal RNA, 253 nt
Filed under: uncultured bacterium
Lineage: Bacteria
Description: partial 16S ribosomal RNA
Rfam family: Bacterial small subunit ribosomal RNA
Source: RNAcentral